GUCCACGCUGUAAACUAUGAUUACUCGAUGUUGGGAGUUCGACCCUCCCGGUGUCUAAGCUAACGCGAUAAGUAAUCCGCCUGAGAAGUACGGCCGCAAGGUUAAAACUCAAAGGAAUAGACGGGGACCCACACAAGCGGUGGAACAUGUGGUUUAAUUCGAUAGUAAACGAGGAACCUUACCAAGGCUUGACAUCUCCAGAAUUUUCUCGAAAGAGAGAAGUGCCGUAAGGAACUGGAUGACAGGUGCUGCAUGGUUGUCGU
Molecule: ribosomal RNA, 263 nt
Filed under: uncultured bacterium
Lineage: Bacteria
Description: partial 16S ribosomal RNA
Rfam family: Bacterial small subunit ribosomal RNA
Source: RNAcentral